UGUUAAUUAAUUAAUUUAAGAUUAAUAAUCGUGCUACUCAUGGAGGAAAGGGAAGAAGGAAAGGAGAUACGAAAACUGGCGAGAUUCGCCUUAUGACCGUGCUGAAAUAUUCGUGGUUACAUGACCAUCUAUCGUUAAGACGUCGUCAACUGUCACAACUGACAUGGGGUCGUUCUCGGAAAGGUCGCUGCAGGAUCAUUAAGGAAUGUUCGGUUAGUUGCGAGUUUGAACAAAUAGUACAGAUGUGGCGAUGCAAGAAACAUUAAACGAGACCGAAUGUGCGGCCCUCCUGAAAGAUGUCAAGUGGGGGGACCCAGGUCUGCUCACUUCGUUGUCCAUUUUGGCACUAAUCAACGUGAUGGUGAUUGUCGGUAAUUGCCUGAUCAUCGCUGCCGUCUUCUGCUCUUCCAAAUUACGUUCAGUUACUAAUCUCUUUAUUGUCUCGCUUGCUGUCGCCGAUUUAUUGGUCGGCAUCGCCGUAUUGCCCUUUUCUGCUACAAGGGAGAUAUUCGACAUAUGGAUAUUCGGAGAUACAUGGUGCAGCAUGUGGUUGGCAUUGGAUGUAUGGAUGUGCACCGCUUCUAUAUUAAACCUUUGUGCUAUUUCUUUGGAUCGGUACGUGGCUGUGACACGACCGAUUACCUAUCCGAACAUCAUGUCUACGUCCAGAGCCAAACUGUUGAUCGCAGGACUUUGGAUACUCAGCUUUGUCAUUUGUUUUCCUCCACUGGUUGGAUGGAAAGAUAAAAAGGCUGAGAACGCUAGCAACGUGACGGAAUUGGAAAAGGACACUCCGUGCCCAUGGAAGUGUGAACUGACUAAUGAAGCUGGAUACGUUGUUUACUCUGCUUUAGGAUCCUUCUACAUUCCCAUGUUCGUGAUGUUGUUUUUCUACUGGCGUAUUUAUAGGGCUGCGGUGAGAACCACACGUGCCAUCAAUCAAGGAUUCAGGACUACCAAAGGUUCUAGGAAAUUCGGAAACCGUUUCGACGAACAAAGGCUGACCCUCCGCAUUCAUAGGGGUCGGGGCCACUCAACGCGAUAUGGCUCAUCUCAGAGUUCCACGAGCAACAGCACAUUAACCGCGGAUAGCGCGUCUCCAAGCCCUUCCUCUCGUGGACGACACGAACGAGUCAAAAUAAGCGUGAGCUACCCAUCAAGUGACAAUCUUUCUUCCCAUUCAACGCCCCAUCUGCUAUCUGUGAGCCCGACGUCUCCUGUUCAUUCCAUCAAUUACACAGUACAUUACUCUAACGAAAGGGGCACUUCGGUUACCAUGCUUGACCCAUCCGAGACGCAUUUGAGGGUGAAAACUAUGGCUGAUAACCAUCGCAGGCAUUCGACGAAAUCGGCUAAUUUCGACAUAGAACGAGAUAGGAGUCCCAGUCCGAGUAUUUGUGACGACGGCACUCCCCUCAGGUCAAAAGUAAUGUCACGAAAGAUGGGAAAAAGGAACAUUAAAGCGCAAGUGAAACGGUUUCGUAUGGAAACUAAAGCGGCUAAAACUUUAGGGAUUAUUGUUGGUGGUUUUAUAUUUUGUUGGCUGCCGUUCUUUACAAUGUACCUGGUGCGCGCCUUUUGCCAUCACUGUAUCCAUCCGUUAGUGUUUAGUGUCUUGUUCUGGUUGGGCUACUGCAACAGUGCUAUAAAUCCGUUGAUUUACGCCCUAUUUUCUAAAGACUUUCGAUUCGCGUUCAAAAGGAUCAUUUGUAGAUGCUUUUGUAAAGGUGGCGGUGAAUCUACUUCUAGGAGAGGUUCCGACGGAUCUCAGAUGCAAACUCGACACUUCCGAACCCCAAGCUAUAACAAUCGUUAUCAAGAAGAGGACAUUGAUAACAGAAACGGCUAUCAUAGGUGACGUAUGAAGAAACCAUCUCUAGCACGUAUGUACCUACAUAGGAAUCCUGCAUUUAAGGUUGCGAUGCACAUUUACGGAUAGUAGUUACUGUAAUAUUGUAAGGGAGGUAAAGUUAAACAAUCGAACAUAGGAAAAUAUUUGAAGACAGAAAAAUUGCAAGCCUCUUAAACAUUUUGGAUAAGCGCUUUCUCGGUAGAUAUUUAUCAAAAGCAUGCACCCACGAGCUUUUCCGGACGCUUUUCUUAUCUUGCCAUGUUAAUUACAUAAUUUAAACAACAAAAGCUUCUUGCUUUAGCUAAUUGUUUACAGGAUCUAUGCACUAGAACGAUUCGUUUUUCGUGGUUUUCGAUGUAUUAGUUUAAAAGUGUGCGGGCGACAUUUUUCGCGCGGUAGUGUAGUGAUUUUUGAACGAGUAAGGGACAAUGAAAAUUAAAUCGUUGGCAACGUUUAAUGAAAAGUACCCAUAAUGUAGGCGUCAUUACUCUCUAGUGGAUUGGUUUGGCUGUUACAAAUAUGCUUAAAAGGUACGCUUUUUACAUUUAUUUUCUGUAGCACCUCUAACUUUUUUAUUUCUCUUUUUAAUUUUUCUAUUUUGCUCUUGGUACAUGAAAAUUGCGUUCCACUCUUUUAAAUUAAGCGCUGUGCAAUUUCGUGUAAAGAACAUUUAUCAAGCUGAUUCAGGUUUUGUUUGCCUUUCAAAUAAAUUCGAUAUUUAACUUCAUACAUUUUAGUCCGGGAGUAAAAGGUUAAAUGUCAGUACAUAAUUCCACAAGUAUGAACCUUUACCUGAAUAUCAUAAAAAUAUGUAGUGCUUUUAAAGUCUACUACGACGUAAUUUAAUUAUUUACAAAAUUGGGUUUACGUCUGUUGUGGGAAAUCCUACAUCUACAUCUUCUUUCAAUUAAUCAAUGUUUACUAAGCAAUUUGUUCCAUUGAAUUAUGAAAAUAUAGAAGUUAGGAAUAACAACAUUGAUAGAUUGUUAAGUUUAUGUUCGAUACUUGGUACGUGGUACUUGGAGAAAACUUCUUCGAAGGAGUUUAAGUGCUUACUAAGUGGUAUCUCGAUGUAGUAAUUUUGGAAAUUGCUCCUUAUAGGCACUCGCCUAUAUAUUUACCUUUAAUGGACAUAAGACGAUAUGUUUAAUUAUGUGAUUAUAUUGCAACAAUGGUAAUUUGUGUUUGAAUAUUUGUUCUACCAAUUUUAUAAUUAUUACUUGUAUGAAGCGGAAGUAAUCAAACAAUACUUUAAUGUAUACAGAGUUGUAGGUAAUACAUUUAAGACGCAAGUAAGGUUGGUAUUGAAGAAUCCCCCAAAUACAGACAGCGUGCGCAAAUUCUGUUGUAUGCUAUUGGCCGUGUUCGAUACUGAGAUUUUUGUACAUCCGUGUUCCAUGACAAUGUUAUUGUGCAUGCGCGAGCACAUCGCUCAUUGGAGAACACGGUCAUUACGUAACUUCCGUUGCAAUCUGCGGCGCAACUUCCGUUGCAUAAACUCUUAACAAACGAAUAACUUCAACAAUACAUACAGUGUAUUUUUCGCUGUAAUCAGUAAAGUAAAUUAUGUAGUGCGGGUAACACUGGGAGAGUACAUAUACCUACGAAAAUAGAAACUAAUUUAUAUUACAUUGCAACUUUGUUAAUGAAAGUAACAAAAAUGGACGAUUGAAAAAUGACAGUUGGUAUGUUAAGACGACAAAAAAACUGAAUAACUUUACCUCCUAGCUGAAACAUAAUAAGUAUUAGGUAAUCUACGUCUGAUCUGAUGAAACAUUUUCGUGUUUUAUUAAUUUGUAUUUAAGGAGAGGGAAACCUGACGACUUACUAUAGAUUAGUAAACGUUAAUGUAAAAGAGAACACAUUAUUGUAAAACAAUCACCACUCGUAUGUAAAAUGUGUAGGUAUCUUAAUUUAACAUGGUGUCAUACAUUUUUUACUUGUCAAUCAUUAACAUUUUCCAUUGCAUACGUUUUCAAAAUAAAUUUUGUCAUUUAGUCCUCAACGUCUUGUGACAAAUAAUCAAAUUAAUAACAUCGUGGCAGAAAUUAUAAAACAAAAAUGCCUUUACAAUA
Agrilus planipennis (emerald ash borer) is the source of this 3927-nucleotide RNA transcript. It is a transcript of the gene named octopamine receptor Oamb, with no coding region annotated. The transcript is spliced from 8 exons. NCBI's taxonomy places the organism in Eukaryota, Metazoa, Arthropoda, Insecta, Coleoptera, Buprestidae. The record is from RefSeq and is a predicted model, not a curated record.